RNAcentral lists this ribosomal RNA (185 nucleotides) under uncultured bacterium. Its description in RNAcentral is "partial 16S ribosomal RNA". It matches the Rfam family "Bacterial small subunit ribosomal RNA", at positions 1316 to 1500 of the family's 1533-position model. The record is from RNAcentral.
CUGCGUGAAGUUGGAAUUGCUAGUAAUCGCGGAUCAGCAUGCCGCGGUGAAUACGUUCCCGGGCCUUGUACACACCGCCCGUCACACCAUGGGAGUCGGUAACACCCGAAGCCAGUAGCCUAACCGCAAGGAGGGCGCUGUCGAAGGUGGGAUUGAUGACUGGGGUGAAGUCGUAACAAGGUACC